This 5471-nucleotide long non-coding RNA is filed under the name Prunus persica (peach). Its description in RNAcentral is "long non-coding RNA (PPER_LNC004049)". The record is from RNAcentral. Lineage: Eukaryota; Viridiplantae; Streptophyta; Magnoliopsida; Rosales; Rosaceae.
AAUAAAGGGCUAAUAUGUUAUCAUGUUUAUACCUAAUUCCAUAUUGGUUUCUUUGUAUCGACAGUUGUUUUGCCUUGUGUAGCUGCUUUUGCGACUUGUGUUGCAUGCAGUGGCAGACCUAUUAAGGAGAAAGGAAGUACAGCUGCACCUCCCUCUUUGAAAAAUCACCUAAAGAGGUCGGAGUUUGCCCCUUUUGUGGUGCUCACCCUAAACCCUAAACCAUCCCUUCCUCUCACCUCAUGUCAUCAUGAGCAAUAGUACUCGUUCAUAUAAUUUUGAGGAGGAUUAUUAUUGCAAGUUUUGGUUUAAAUUUGUGCUUAAUUUUGUGUUCAUGAAUUAUAUUUAAAAAUCACUAUGAACUAUCAGUCGAUUGUUACAUUGCAUGAUUUUGAUGUCCGUUUAUAAAUAGGUUAGAUAUAUCAACUAUGACAUAAUGUGCCUAAAGCAUUGGUAGUAAAACUCAACCGGGACAGUUAAGUUAUAUACAAGGCCACUGAUGAUGCAUCUGACUUAUAUUCAGGCAUCGACCGACACGCUUAGAGCAUUACAUGCUGCUUCCCCUCAUUCUGAGGGUGAACAGUAACAGUUGCACAGGCCUCAGCUCCCACAUCAGAAACAGAUAUAGAGCUUACCAUUGGCCAUUCUGCUGAUUCUGCUAAUUUUUCAAUUCAUGUGUCACUAUUUUGUGAGUCCACAUGAACUCAUUAAUUGUCACUUCAUCGUUUAACAAAACAUUUGACGGUGACAAAUGUAUGAUUAUGGAUUAGUAAGAAAAUUAAAUUUUAGGUACGAAAAAAAGUUGAAGUAGUAAGAAUUAAAUUUUAGAAAACUUUCAGAUAGUAAAGUGAAAUUCACGCUACAUAAAUUCUUUAUUUAUUUUGACAUAACCUUUCAUUUUGGAGAAAUUUUGUGUCCAGAUUUCAAACGGCUCCAUGUUGGUCUUCACUACGAUGCAGAGGCAUUCUUUGUUUGUCUCUUAUAAGAGUGUAACCCUUUUCCAAAAUAAUUUACAUUAGCUACAUUGUUUUAUAUUAAAAUAUUAAGAUAUUUCUUAGCUUCUUCUUCUUCUUUGACUUUGAAAGCAUCAUCAACCAAUCAACUUCCCACAAAAUACCCAAUGCCACGUGUACUAUAUUGACGCGUCCCUCUGGUUUUGGUGGCUGCCAGCCCAGUACGAAAUAUUCAUAAGAGAAAGACUAGUCUAGCCAGAAAACCAAAAUAUUUGUAUAAGCUCUCCACCUAUCUUUUUUCAUUUCCCCAAACGAAAAAAAGGUUUAUUAAAGAGAAUGGAAAGGUUUACAUCACUGACAAAAAUAUCUAAAAUCCGCUCAGGCUAGGCCACACUUGUACCAAACAUGCUUCUCAAGUCAAAAAUCCACUAAGACCACACUUGGUUCUAAACAUGACGCUUGUUCCAAACAUGCUUCUCAAAAAUCCACAACAUGCUUCUCAAAAAUCCACUCAGGCCACACUUGGUUCUAAACAUGGUUACCUCCUACUUUUGACACAAAGGCCGCAACCUGGUGCGCUGCCUUAUUACACUGGCGGGGAGUAUCUUUGAAAACAUGCAACUGUCCAGCAAGCAUCUGGAUAUCAAAAACAAUCUAAUUAAGCUCUCCUCCUAUCUUCGUCUCCUACAGUAUCAAUCUUUAGCAUAUAUUAUAUAGAUUGCUCAUCAUGAGUCACGACCAGCACCAUCAUCAUCAGGCUCCAGGUAAAUUACCAGUUAAUGUCUGUUUAUGUGAUUUAAUUGUCUAAUUAAUCCCAUUUAAUAUGUUACUUAGAUUAAUAAACUAAGAUACGAGGUUGAAUAUUGCAAUAUGCAAACACAACUAUCAAAGUCUCAAACAUUAGAGGGGUUUUCACUUCUGAUCUACAUACAAAUUAAACCUUGCUUUGUACUUAUUUGGUGUCCCCAACAAAAUGACAUGCUUUAAAUUGUUACAAAUUAAGUGUUUAUGAACAUAUUUUAUAUAUAUAUAUAUAUAUAUAUAUAUAUCAACGUUUGUGUUCAACUUUGUUCAUGAUCAAAUAUCAACGUUUGUGUUUACCAAAUUGCAGAGGUAUAUCCACCACCACCACCUUCCGGUGCAGUUCACGAAUACAAUCAAGGUGGUCCAUAUGUUGUUGCACCACCAGUUGCUUACCCCAUGAAACAUGAUGGUCCUGAAAACCCCCAACAACCACCUCCCUACCCCGAGCAACAACAGCAACCUGCAGAGUCUCAUCAUCGUAGGGGUGAUGGAUUUUGCACAAGAUGGUAAUUGAACAUUCUCAAGCCCCUUAAAUUACAUUUUUCUCAAGUAAAUUAAGGGGCUAAUAUGUUAUCAUGUUUAUACUUAUUCCAUAUUGGUUUCUUUGUAUCAACAGUUGUUUUGCCAUGUUGAGCUGUUUUUGCGACUUGUGCUGUAUGCCGCUGGGUCCCGAAGCUUACCUUUCCUAUCACACACGGUAGUCAACUUCACAAUCUCCUCCUAGCAACUAGCCUUUUCUGCUGUAAAUUGGAUUUCCUGCUGUAAAUCGGAUCGUAUUCAUAUAUAUAUAUUAUUUCCUACCUUAAGUAGAUAUCUUGUAUUAGUAUAAAUAGGGACUUUGUGUAAUCUGUUUAAUACAAAGAAAUAUAUUUUGGGAGCUUCACUAAUAUACCCAAAAUAUGGACUGAAAUUAUAAAAAAACCCUACAUAGAAUGCACUUUAGAAACACACCCAAAACUCAUUUACUACAUAGAAAUUGGUGUUUAAGUUUCUAUAAAUUACAUGAUUGCCAUUGAUCAAUUUAAAAAAGAAGUCCAACACAAAAAAUUUAAAUAGCACCCAAAACAAACCCAGCCCAAUUUUAUAAAAAAACCCAAACAAUUCAUUACAAACAAAACGUCUUGAAAACCAUAGCUUCAUUAAUGUGCCAUGUUGAUUAAUGACUGUAAUAUUCCACACCUUUACUGUCAUGUUGAUUAAUGGUUGCAAUGUUCCAGUCUAGGGUAAUAACACUGCUAUUUUCCUAUGACAUCCUAUUUCUAAUGCAUGUUUACCCCUGUAAUGUUCCAGUCUAGGGUAAUAACACUUCUAGUUUCCUAUGACAUUCUAUUUCUAAUGCAUGUAUACCUUUGUAAUGUUCCAGUGUAGGGUAAUAACAUUGCUAGUUUACUGUCAUGUUGAUUAAUGGUUGUAAUAUUCCAGUCUAUGGUAAUAACACUGCUAGUUUCAUAUGAAAUCCUAUUUCUAAUGCAUGUCUACCCCCUGUAAUGUUCUAGUCUAGGGUAAUAACACUGCUAGUUUCAUAUGACAUCUUAUUUCUAAUGCAUGUCUACCCCUGUAAUGUUCCAGUCUAGGGUAAUAACACUGCUAGUUUCAUAUGACAUUCUAUUUCUAAUACAUGUCUACCCCCGUAAUGUUCUAGUCUAGGGUAAUAACACUGCUAGUUUACUAUCAUGUUGAUUAAUGCUUGUCAGGUUGCUAUUUCUAAUACAUGUCCAACAAAGAAACUAUGAAGAAAGAACAAACCAGACCAACUCAAAACAAGUUGAGCCCAAAUUGUUAAUACUAUUAUGUCAUAGAAGUACGUAGUUAAUACUACUCUGUAAUAGAAGUACAUUGUUAAUACUUUGUCAUAGAAGUACAUUGUUAAACAAAAAUAAGAUCCAUAACUGAAAUAGUAAUAAAAGAUAAAUCGAUAAUCAAAUCUUAAAAUACAUUUCGAAAAUCAACUAAAAUCCGAAGAGAAACACAUAAUUGAAGCAAAAGAUCAAAAAUCUCAAGUCCAAACCAAACAACGACGAUGACAAUGAUGACGACAACGAUGACGACGACGUGGUGAAGAGGAGUAGAGCUUGAAGAUGAGGAGUAGAGCUAAGAGCAUUUGAUCAAGGUUCGUUCGAGUUCUUGAACAAUCCGAAGAAAAAAAAAUCAAUAGAAGCACAAUUUUAGAACAAGAAAUCGAAGGUGAAAUAUUGAAAAUUGUAGAUUAAAUAUGAAGAAUAUAGUUGGGCCUGAGAUUGAGCUUGGAAGCUCCUCUUGCUCCAACACCAGAGAAAGCUCUUUUGUCACGGGUCUGCUGUUCCAUUUUUUUUCGUUGAAAUGCUUGAAACCACGGAGAGUAAUAUGCAAAAAUCAUUUCAAUCAUAGUGGCACAUGGCAUCCAUAUUACUGGCAGCAACACCAAAGUCCCACCGGAUUUCUCAUGCUUACCUACACAAAGAGACCUUGCAUGAAUCAGGCUCAUCGCAAAUAUGAGAAUUCAAUUCAAGAAGCUGCCACAUGCGCUUGCAGUGAGCACAUCCACCAGGAACCCAGGUUUUACAGCUGGAGAAAUGACGAACUAAGGUCUCAAGCCCCUUGCAAGCAGGAAAAUCACAAGCAACCUGGCUUCCUCUGAACACCUUGUUACGGGGCAGAUCUGAUUUGGUUUUUUUGGCAUAUUUAGUUUUUUGGUAGAUCUAUGCAGAUCUGGGCAGAUCUGAUUUUUCUCUCUCAAAUCCAUAAUAUAUACAAGGGCAAUAUAGGUAUUUAACACACACAAAUAAACUAAAAAACAGCUAUUAAAUUGAAACAAUUGAAAGCUGUCAAUUUUUGGGUUUUUUUUGGGUGAGUUUAUAGUUUUUAAAUAGUAUAGGGUUUCUUUAUAAGACUAUGUCUAAGAUUGGGUAUAUAACUAAAUUUCUAAUAUAUUUUCUACAUAGUAUCAGCAUAAACUUGGGUUUCCACCCUCUCCCUUAUUCGAUCCAAUCCUCUCUUUUAGGUCCACCUCAUGGCUUCAUCUGAAUCCACCUUCCUAGCCCCAACUCUUCUCAUUUUAUCAAGCUUACUGACUCCAUCUCCAACUAUCUCCUUUGGCUCCGCCAACUCAAACACUUUUUAGUCGGUCAUGACCUUUGGAAAUUUAUUGAUGGCACUCAUAAACAACCUUUUUCCCAAACCUCCACUUCUACCACUGCAACACCCACAACCACCACUGCCACUCUUACCCAAACCAAUCCCGCCCAUGCUCAGUGGUACCAACAAGACCAACUCAUUGUUAGCUACAUUACCAGUACACUCUCUGAGUCCAUUCUCUCUCUCACCGUCGGCUGCACCUCUGCCUAGGAUCUAUGGGAGUGUCUCCAACGCCACUUUUCCCAAUCCAAUAUGACAAGUGAAUCUGCUCUUCGUUUUCAACUCAUGAAUAUGAAAAAGGCUCUCAACCCAUUGAUGCUUACCUUCGUCAUGCUAAGUCCCUUGCCAAUUCACUAGCUGCCAUCAAUGAACUUAUCUCUAAAAAUCACCUGGAAAGGUCGGAAUAGUACUCUCACCUCGUGUCAUCAUGAGCAAUAGUACUCGUUCAUAAUCAUGUUAGCAUAUAAUUUUGAGGAGGAUUAUUAUUGCAAGUUUUGGUUUAAAUUUGUGCUUAAUUUUGUGUUCAUUUUGCCAAGAAUUAUAUUUCAAAAUCACUAUGAACUAACUAACUAUCGAUUGUUACAUUGCAUGAUUUUGAUGUCC